RNAcentral lists this ribosomal RNA (315 nucleotides) under uncultured eukaryote. RNAcentral's name for it is "partial 18S ribosomal RNA". It matches the Rfam family "Eukaryotic small subunit ribosomal RNA", at positions 1470 to 1796 of the family's 1831-position model. The record is from RNAcentral.
CCCUUAGACGUUCUGGGCCGCACGCGCGCUACACUGACCAGCGCAACAAGCAUCCGUCCUUGGCCGACAGGCUCGGGCAAUCUUUGAACGCUGGUCGUGAUGGGGAUAGACUUUUGCAAUUUUUGGUCUUCAACGAGGAAUUCCUAGUAAACGCAAGUCAUCAACUUGCAUUGAUUACGUCCCUGCCCUUUGUACACACCGCCCGUCGCACCUACCGAUUGAAUGGUCCGGUGAAGCCUCCGGAUUGGCGCGCACCUCGGUGCCGCCGAGAAGUUGGCUAAACCUUACCAUUUAGAGGAAGGUGAANUCGUANCA